Molecule: ribosomal RNA, 253 nt
Filed under: uncultured bacterium
Lineage: Bacteria
Description: partial 16S ribosomal RNA
Rfam family: Bacterial small subunit ribosomal RNA
Source: RNAcentral
GACGUAGGGUGCAAGCGUUGUCCGGAUUUACUGGGCGUAAAGAGCGCGUAGGCGGCUCGUUAAGUGAGAAGUGAAAGCUCUUGGCUCAACAAAGAAACCGCUUUUCAUACUGGCGAGCUAGAGUGAUGCAGAGGUGGAUAGAAUUCCCGGUGUAGCGGUGAAAUGCGUUGAUAUCGGGAGGAAUACCCGUGGCGAAGGCGGUCCACUGGGCAUCAACUGACGCUGAGGCGCGAAAGCGUGGGUAGCAAACAGG